Molecule: ribosomal RNA, 430 nt
Filed under: Sesamia nonagrioides (Mediterranean corn borer)
Lineage: Eukaryota; Metazoa; Arthropoda; Insecta; Lepidoptera; Noctuidae
Description: partial 16S ribosomal RNA
Source: RNAcentral
UUAAAGGGCUGCAGUAUAUUGACUGUACAAAGGUAGCAUAAUCCUUAGUCAUUUAAUUGAUGACUUGUAUGAAGGAUUGGAUGAAAUAUAAACUGUCUCUUAAUUAUAUUUAGAAUUUAAUUUUUUAAUUAAAAAGUUAAAAUAAAUUAGAAAGACGAGAAGACCCUAUAGAGUUUUAUAGGUAAAAUUAAUUGAGAUUAUUUGUAAAGGUUAAAAUUAAGAUUAAUUUAUUUAUUUUGUUGGGGUGACAGAAAAAUAUGAAAAACUUUUUAUAUGUUUAAAACAUUAAUAAGUGGUUAAAUGAUCCAAUAUUAUUGAUUAUAAGAAAAAAUUACCUUAGGGAUAACAGCGUAAUUUUUUUUUUUAGUUCACAUAAAAAAAAAAGUUUGCGACCUCGAUGUUGGAUUAAGAUAAAAUUUAAAUGCAGAAG